AACUUUUGGCAACGGAUCUCUUGGCUCUCGCAUCGAUGAAGAACGCAGCGAAAUGCGAAACGUAAUGUGAAUUGCAGAACUCCAGUGAAUCAUCGAAUCUUUGAACGCACCUUGCGCUCUGUGGUAUCCCGCAGAGCAUGCCUGUUUGAGUGUCGCGCUCCCCUCUCAACCCGCCUCUCUUUUAUCGGAGUGGGCGGGCUUGGAUCGUGGCUCGAGCGGCCGAUGUCGGCUCUCCUCGGAGGGUGCAGACGGACGCUGCGGGCCGAAAUAGCGCUAGCGAAUUCGGGAUUGUCCCCUGGCUAGUCGACGUUGUACGCACCUCGUCGGCGCCUACGCCCUGCGGAUCGAGACCAGCGUCGCUUCGAACGAUCAACUGCAGCUCCUCGGAGUGUGCAGUUCAGAUUCGACCUCAAAUCAGGUAGGACUACCCGCUGAACUUAAGCAUAUCAAUAAGCGGAGGCU
This 462-nucleotide unclassified non-coding RNA is filed under the name uncultured Agaricomycetes. RNAcentral describes it as "sequence contains ITS2". The stretch from base 1 to 155 matches the Rfam family "5.8S ribosomal RNA". The record is from RNAcentral. Lineage: Eukaryota; Fungi; Basidiomycota; Agaricomycetes.